GUCAUGUGACCUGGAGGCUAAAAUUAUCCUGCAGAUCUGAGGUCAGAUUUCAGCUAAAGAGACGCAGCAUGGAGGACGGCUGCUGCGCUCACACAAGGAUGCUCAGAGGGAGGAAGUGGCUGCAGGUCAGAGGUCAGAGGUCAUCCUACCUGUACACCUGUGUGCUGUGACAUCACGGCUGACAGGAAGUGGUCAUCAUGGUGGGCGUGGCGGCAUGCGGCUCGGUGAGCUCCAUCAAAGCUCUGUGGGAGACGAGGAUCAAGAGGGUCCAGAAGGAGGAAGAGGAGCACACGAGGAGGAAGACCAGGUGCGGGGCCACUGGCAGACUGAGUGUUGGUGUUUGGGAGGACCGGGUGGUUCUGGCUCGGCUGAAGCAGAAGCUGCAGACAGAAGAUGGACGACUCAUCCUCCGAAUCGAACAGGAGGAGUGGAAGUUGUUGCCGGGCUGUCUGGUCCAGCUCAGUCAGGUCCAGGAGUGGCAGAUUCACCGGACCGGACUGCAGAAGAUCCCUCACUUCAUCUCUAGCUUCCAGAACCUUUUAGUUCUCGAUCUGUCCCGCAAUGGGGUCACCGAAAUCCCCCAACAGAUCGGGAAGCUGACUCAGCUCAGAGAGCUCCUGCUGAGCUACAACAGAAUCCAGUUUGUUCCUGAAGAGCUGAGCUGCUGUGAGAGUCUGGAGAGACUGGAGUUGGCCAUGAACCGGGACCUGAACCAGCUACCAGACCAGUUGAGGAAGUUGAAGAAGCUGCAGCACCUGGAUCUGUCCAUGAACGACUUCACCUGCGUGCCGGACUGUGUGGUUGGACUGCCGGCGCUCGAGUGGCUCGACAUGGGAGGAAACCAACUGCAGCACUUACCUGAAGACAUACACAGGAUGGAGACGCUGCACACUCUGUGGCUGCAGAGAAACCAACUGGAGAAACUUCCAGACAGCAUCAGCAGGAUGAAGAGUCUGGACACGCUGGUCCUAAGCUGCAACAGACUCAGAGACAUCCCCCCACUGAUGGAGGACAUGUCCAACCUCAGGUUUGUGAAUUUCCGGGACAACCCUCUGACCCUGGAUGUGACGCUGCCCUGCAGUGAGAUGAAGACUGAGGACGAUGAAGAGGACAGAGAGAUGUUUGGACGAGAGUUCAUGCAGUUUUACAUCCAAGAAGCCAGAAAGAGAGCGUACGCUGUGCUCAACAUGCACUGUGUCAACCGUGUUGGCAACGCUGCGGGACGAGUAGCGAGGCAAAGUUUGGCGGAAGAUGAAGAAUAAAAUGAAGCCCGUUGAAUAAUAGACCAGUGUUAGACCGGCUUUGCUUUGUGCUUCUAGGCACACUGGAAUAAUUCCUGCAGAGCCGAACGACGACUCAUCAAACUAAAGUAAUCUGUCGCUCUGCAUUUCUUCUUCUGGGCUUUUUCUUUUCAGAACUCAGCUACACGUUUUAAAACCAGUGAAGAAAAAGAUUCACAUCAAAGACUCGUUCAUAUAUUUAUGUAUUUAUAUAUAUAUUCACAUUUAUAUUUCUGUUUCUGGGGGCUGGAAUCUGCUGACAGUUUAUAAAACUUGACUAACAGAAUGUUUCAGUAGUGUUUUUGUUUUCCUGUUUGUGUCGUGUGAUUUUAGACUGUAAAUCAUUUAUUCAUUUCUGCAGACUGAAACACAAACAGUGUUCUUUAUGAAGCUAUGAAAUGAAGCUAUGAAAUGAAGCUAUGAAAUGAAGCUAUGAAAUGAAGGUUUAAAUCAGAAACAGAAACAAGUGAAAACGCUUUAAUAGAAACUUUACUUAACAUUUCAACACAUUUUAACUCCAAAUAAAAAUACUUUUGUAGAAACUCA
This is an RNA transcript of Sebastes umbrosus (honeycomb rockfish), 1826 nucleotides long. It is a transcript of the gene named leucine-rich repeat-containing protein 39-like, with no coding region annotated. The transcript is spliced from 10 exons. Lineage: Eukaryota; Metazoa; Chordata; Actinopteri; Perciformes; Sebastidae. The record is from RefSeq and is a predicted model, not a curated record.